This 440-nucleotide ribosomal RNA is filed under the name uncultured bacterium. RNAcentral's name for it is "partial 16S ribosomal RNA". It matches the Rfam family "Bacterial small subunit ribosomal RNA", at positions 338 to 795 of the family's 1533-position model. The record is from RNAcentral.
CCUACGGGUGGCAGCAGUGGGGAAUAUUGGACAAUGGGGGAAACCCUUAUCCAGCGACGCCGCGUGAGGGAAGAAGGUUUUCGGAUUGUAAACCUCUGUCAGUGGGGACGAUAAUGACUGUACCCACGGAGGAAGCCACGGCUAACUACGUGCCAGCAGCCGCGGUAAUACGUAGGUGGCAAGCGUUGUCCGGAAUUACUGGGUGUAAAGGGAGCGUAGGCGGGAUGACAAGUCAGAAGUGAAAACUGUGGGCUGAAAUCGUAACCUGCUUUUGAAAAUGAUUGUCUUGAGUGAAGUAGAGGCAAGCGGAAUUCCUAGUGUAGCGGUGAAAUGCGUAGAUAUUAGGAGGAACACCAGUGGCGAAGGCGGCUUACUGGGCUUUAACUGACGGUGAGGCUCGAAAGCGUGGGGAGCAAACAGGAUUAGAGACCCUAGUAGUC